Ziziphus jujuba (common jujube) is the source of this 2498-nucleotide RNA transcript. It is a transcript of the gene named factor of DNA methylation 1, with no coding region annotated. Lineage: Eukaryota; Viridiplantae; Streptophyta; Magnoliopsida; Rosales; Rhamnaceae. The transcript has 9 exons. The record is from RefSeq and is a predicted model, not a curated record.
AUCCAACUGGUUGGGGUACCACGUCAGAAACAUUAACGUGGAGCUACGGUUAUAGGGGAGAAUUUCUGCCUCUUCAUCUGGUCAUCUGAUUUUCUCUUGCUAGUGCCAAUCGCAUUUAGCGAGUGGAUAGACUCGGGUACAGAUUAUUUCUCCCAUUUUAUGGAAGAUGAAAAGCCAGUCUGGGUUAGGGCAUACUCUGUGAUCAGUUUUCUCAGAAGACCUGAGGAAGACGAAGAAGACCAAAGGCGCUCUCUCGCUCUUCUCUUUUCUUUCUAAUCAUAUUUCAAAAUCUAAGUUAGAUGGACUCCAGCUCUGAAGAAGAGUCAGACUUCAGUGAUUCUGAGAUCCAUGAACAUGUGGAGAAACCGUAUGAGCAAUUGAGGGCUGGAAAAUACAAAGUCAAAGGUCCUAAUGGUACUCUUAGAUGCCCUUUUUGUGCUGGGAAGAAGAAACAAGAUUACAAAUAUAAGGAUCUGCUUCAACAUGCUUCUGGAGUGGGUAAAGGUUCAUCUAACAGAAGUGGGAAACAAAAGGCCGACCACCUUGCCUUGGCUAGGUAUUUGGAGACAGACCUAGCAAAUGAAGCAGAUCAAAGCCAGCAGCCGGUUAUACCACAACCUGUCUCUCAACAUCCGAAGCAAGAUGAUGUAUAUGUGUGGCCCUGGACUGUUAUCAUUGUUAACAUAGUGGUUGAGGCAAAAGAUGAAAAAUCUAUGCGUUAUUCUGAAUAUUGGUUGAAAAGGUUCUCUAAAUACAGGCCAGUACAUGUUCAUACCUUUUGGAACGAGAAUAAUCAGGCUGCAGAGGCUGUAGUAGAAUUUAACAGUGACUGGAAUGGUUUUUUGAAUGCUACUGAAUUUGAACAGGAUUUUAAGAUUAAUCGUCACAGUAAAGAGGAAUGGAAUACACAGAAAACACGUGGUUCAAAUAUUUAUGGUUGGAGUGCUCGUGCUGAUGAUUACGAGUCUCAAGGGCCAAUAGGGGAGUAUCUUCGCAAGAGAGGAAAGCUAAGAACAGUGUCUGAUAUUGAGCAGGAAGAAGCUCAAAGCAACAAGUUUGUCGUGGCUGACCUAGCUAUUAAAAUUGAUAAAACCAAUGAAAGCUUAGAUGUGCUACAGUCCAAGUACAACCAAAAUUCUAUGUCUUUAAGUAGAAUGCUUGAAGAAAAGGACCAGCUGCACCUUGCUUUUGUUGAAGAAAGUAGGAAGAUGCAGCGACUUGCACGAGAACAUGUUCGGAGGGUACUGCAAGAGCAGGAAAAAAUGAAUUAUGAGUUGGAGACCAAAAAAAAGGAACUUGAUGCCCGGAGCAAAGAAUUAAGCAAACGUGAAGCACUAACUGAACGUGAAAAGCAAAAACUUGAUGAGGAUUUGAAAAAGAAUGAUGUAAGAAACAAUUCACUUCAAUUGGCUUCGAUAGAGCAGAAAAAGGCUGAUGAGAACGUCUUAAGGCUGGUUGAAGAGCAAAAGAGGGAGAAAGAGGAAGCCCUGAAUAAGAUACUUCAGUUAGAAAAACAGCUUGAUGUUAAGCAGAAGUUGGAAAUGGAAAUUCAAGAGUUAAGAGGUAAAUUAGAGGUGAUGAAACAUCUUGGAGAUGAAGAUGACGAAGCAGUUAAAAAGAAGAUGAAAGAAAUGAAAGAGGAAUUGGAUGAGAAAGUUGAUUCUCUUGACGAUUUGGAGUCGCUAAAUCGAACUCUUAUAGCUAAAGAGCGCCAGAGCAAUGAUGAGCUACAAGAAGCUCGUAAAGAACUAAUAGCGGGUUUGGAUGAUCUGUUGGGUAAUCGAACCAAUAUUGGGAUCAAGAGAAUGGGAGAUCUUGACCAAAGGCCCUUUAUUAACACAUGCAAGCAGCGAUAUUCUCUUGAGGAAGCACAGUUGAAGGCAUCCACUCUUUGUUCUCUGUGGCAGGAACAAGUGAAAGAUUCAACCUGGUACCCGUUCAAGGUUGUAACUAUUAAUGGGAUUGACCAGGAAAUAAUAAAUGAGGAAGAUGAGAAGCUAAGGAAACUGAAGGAGUGGGGCGAAGAGAUAUAUAAGGCUGUUGUUACGGCCUUGACUGAAAUUAAUGAAUACAAUCCAAGUGGAAGAUAUGUUGUUCCUGAACUUUGGAAUUUUAAAGAGGGAAGAAAAGCCACAUUAAAGGAGGUUAUCAGUUAUGCCAUAAAGAAUUUGAAGACACUCAAGCGCAAGAGAGCAUGAGGUGAAGCAGAUAGUUUUAAAUGUACCCCAAAUUGAGAGAGAAACUCCUAUCGCGACUAAAUUGGGAUUGACGGGGAAAAUGAAGAAAGAUGGAAAUUUUGGCACCAGGCAUGACCUUGUUUCUUUUGAGCCGUGUCUCACGCCAGGAUAUGCUUGUUCCAUUUGAAUGAAUUUGUGAGCAAAAUAACAUGUUAUGUUGGAUAUGCUUUCUGUUCUAGGAUUUAACUACGAAUCUCUACUUUACUGGGCUAAUUGCCAUACUGACUAUAAUUGCAGAACUCUUUCAUGAGAUUUUCACUA